UAGUUAAACGGCCGCGGUACCCUAACCGUGCAAAGGUAGCACAAUCACUUGUCCUUUAAAUAAGGACUAGUAUGAACGGCCCCACGAGGGCUAUACUGUCUCCCCCCUUCAAUCAGUGAAACUGAUCUCCUCGUGAAGAAGCGAGGAUCAUACCAUAAGACGAGAAGACCCCAUGGAACUUUAAACUAGCAUCACCCCCCCACAACCUAAACCGCAUGAUUUCUAGUCUUUCGGCUGGGGCGACCACGGAGAAAAACAAAACCCCCGAGAUGAAAGGAAGUAUCCUUAUCCCAGAACUACCAUUCCAAGAAUCAACAAAUGACACCACUGACCCAACACACCUUGAUCAACGAACCAAGCUACCCUGGGGAUAACAGCGCAAUCCAUUUCAAGAGACCUCAUCGACAAAUGGGCUUACGACCUCGAUGUUGGAUCAGGGAUUCCUGGUGGUGUAGCCGCUACCAUAAAGGUUCGUUUGUUCACU
This 484-nucleotide ribosomal RNA is filed under the name Stumpffia davidattenboroughi. Its description in RNAcentral is "partial large subunit ribosomal RNA". It matches the Rfam family "Bacterial large subunit ribosomal RNA", at positions 1920 to 2585 of the family's 2925-position model. The record is from RNAcentral. Lineage: Eukaryota; Metazoa; Chordata; Amphibia; Anura; Microhylidae.